Molecule: long non-coding RNA, 1254 nt
Organism: Oncorhynchus tshawytscha (Chinook salmon)
Lineage: Eukaryota; Metazoa; Chordata; Actinopteri; Salmoniformes; Salmonidae
Source: Ensembl
CGAAAGGUCGCGCGCUGCUCUGUAGCCUACUGAUGCGCUUUCCCCUCCCAACCAGCGUCGCCUCUGCGUGCGGUGACCACACCUGCAACCGGGAAAGUCCGCUAGACCUGCGCACGGUUCAGUGAGCGCGAGAGGCACACACAAUCACCAUCGGAGGCUCCACAUCGGAGAAAGGUAGUCAGUCUAGUCAGAAUUAUGUUGAUUAUUGAGACUAUACUGUUUCAAACCGUCCUUUCACGCACCAAACGCGCGGCAUAUGGUUUGGAUUUGGAAAUACCUCCCGGCGCAGGAACGGAGAUUUGUGGAGUCGUUCCGUUUCGAGGAUGAAUAGCGACUGGGAAUGUGCCAGCACCACGCACAGUUUGUGACUGAUGCAGGCAAGCUACUGUAGAGCCAGGUGGCUGAGGUCUCGGCAGGGAGUCAGUGCAAGCUGAGAGGGGUAGUAACAUCACCGUCAACAUCACUAGGUCCUGCUGAAGAGAGAUUGAAAACAACAUCAGCCCUGCCUAGCCUCAUCCCCAGACGCCUGCCUGCCUCCAGCUCCUAGCAGCUCCAGGCUCCCGGCCCCCAUGGAGCUUGGCACUGAUGCCCAGCGCAAAAACAGAUGGUGCCAAUCCUGACCCCUCUCGUCACCGAUGAACAGGAAGAGGAGGAGGCACUGUUGCCACGGCAACUCCUGGACACACAUCCUCUCCAAGGGCCUCAGGCGUCCAAUUCCAUGCCUGCUUGGACUGUAUGAGAAUGUGCUGAUGGACCAGGACCAGUGCAGGAACGUGACAUCAGUUUACUGAAAGCCAAUGAAACUCCAUCCUGUCGGGGACUGCUCCUCUUUCCCUGCUGGCUGGCCUGGGCUCUCAGGCCUGGAUGAAUUAUUAAAGGGACCCCUCAGUACUGCUGGUAGCUCUAAAGCCCUCUUUAAACACCUGCUGAUCGGAGGGAGUGGUGUGUCGGUUCAAACCCUGCAGAGAGGAAGUAGGGACAAGCCGUUUCAGCCGUUUGACUGCAGAUCAAAGCAAAGCUUCUGCAACUGUCUGGCUCCCUUGGCUCUCAUCUCCUCCUGUCAGAAGUAAAACAACUACCAUUUUGUUUAUUUUGUUCUUAUGUGAACCCAUGAAUAAUUGAUCUACAGACUGAUUAUAAUGGCAAAUUCCUAUUUUAAAAGAACAGAACUUCAACAUAAAAUGAGACACUAAUGACUUGGUGGGAUGAAUUCAGCAGGGCCAAAUAACAUAGGGAAUACAGUGUCCAUAAAGC